RNAcentral lists this ribosomal RNA (227 nucleotides) under uncultured bacterium. RNAcentral describes it as "partial 16S ribosomal RNA". It matches the Rfam family "Bacterial small subunit ribosomal RNA", at positions 118 to 348 of the family's 1533-position model. The record is from RNAcentral.
UGAGCAAUCUGCCCUUCUCUUUGGAAUAAGCGUUGGAAACGACGUCUAAUGCCGAAUACGACCUCCUUUCGCAUGAUCGGAGGUGGAAAGCUCCGGCGGUGAAGGAUGAGCUCGCGGCCUAUCAGCUUGUUGGUGAGGUAUAGCUCACCAAGGCGAUGACGGGUAGCCGGCCUGAGAGGGUGACCGGCCACACUGGGACUGAGACACGGCCCAGACUCCGUAGGAGG